CUUCCGUAGGGGUACCUGCGGAGGGAUCAUUACCGAGUUUACAACUCCCAAACCCAAUGUGAACCAUACCAAACUGUUGCCUCGGCGGGGUCACGCCCCGGGUGCGUCGCAGCCCCGGAACCAGGCGCCCGCCGGAGGGACCAACCAAACUCUUUACUGUAGUCCCCUCGCGGACGUUAUUUCUUACAGCUCUGAGCAAAAAUUCAAAAUGAAUCAAAACUUUCAACAACGGAUCUCUUGGUUCUGGCAUCGAUGAAGAACGCAGCGAAAUGCGAUAAGUAAUGUGAAUUGCAGAAUUCAGUGAAUCAUCGAAUCUUUGAACGCACAUUGCGCCCGCCAGUAUUCUGGCGGGCAUGCCUGUCCGAGCGUCAUUUCAACCCUCGAACCCCUCCGGGGGGUCGGCGUUGGGGACCUCGGGAGCCCCUAAGACGGGAUCCCGGCCCCGAAAUACAGUGGCGGUCUCGCCGCAGCCUCUCCUGCGCAGUAGUUUGCACAACUCGCACCGGGAGCGCGGCGCGUCCACGUCCGUAAAACACCCAACUUCUGAAAUGUUGACCUCGGAUCAGGUAGGAAUACCCGCUGAACUUAAGCAUAUCAAAGGCGGGAGGAA
This 610-nucleotide ribosomal RNA is filed under the name Trichoderma sp. IHB F 2366. RNAcentral's name for it is "eukaryotic LSU rRNA". The stretch from base 218 to 371 matches the Rfam family "5.8S ribosomal RNA". The record is from RNAcentral. Lineage: Eukaryota; Fungi; Ascomycota; Sordariomycetes; Hypocreales; Hypocreaceae.